This 219-nucleotide long non-coding RNA is filed under the name Elaeis guineensis (African oil palm). Its description in RNAcentral is "long non-coding RNA (EGUI_LNC056191)". The record is from RNAcentral. Lineage: Eukaryota; Viridiplantae; Streptophyta; Magnoliopsida; Arecales; Arecaceae.
GGUUCAUCUCCUAGAAUCUUUGAUCCAGGAGAUCCUCUCGACUGUGAGUCAAGGGUCUUCUGGUAAAAUGAAGGUAAGGAUCCUCUGGGGGUGGAAUCAUGAUCAGACUGAGGACUCUUCGCCCUCUGCUUCCCCUUUUCGGAGAAGACAGGGCGACUCGCCCAAGUGGCCCACCCGAUCGUCGGAUUCUGAAACUCUGACGAUGCUCUUUCCAGCCAC